CCCUUAGAUGUUCUGGGCCGCACGCGUGCUACACUGACCGGCGCAACAAGUUUCUUUCCUUGGCUCGAUAGGCCUGGGCAAUCUUUGAACGCUGGUCGUGAUGGGGAUAGACUUUUGCAAUUUUUGGUCUUCAACGAGGAAUUCCUAGUAAACGCAAGUCAUCAACUUGCAUUGAUUACGUCCCUGCCCUUUGUACACACCGCCCGUCGCACCUACCGAUUGAAUGGUCCGGUGAAGCCUCCGGAUUGGCGCGCACCUCGGUGCCGCCGAGAAGUUGGCUAAACCUUACCAUUUAGAGGAAGGUGAAGUCGUAACA
Molecule: ribosomal RNA, 316 nt
Filed under: uncultured eukaryote
Lineage: Eukaryota
Description: partial 18S ribosomal RNA
Rfam family: Eukaryotic small subunit ribosomal RNA
Source: RNAcentral